This 319-nucleotide unclassified non-coding RNA is filed under the name uncultured fungus. Its description in RNAcentral is "partial contains small subunit ribosomal RNA, internal transcribed spacer 1, and 5.8S ribosomal RNA". The stretch from base 1 to 73 matches the Rfam family "Eukaryotic small subunit ribosomal RNA", at positions 1759 to 1831 of the family's 1831-position model. Lineage: Eukaryota; Fungi. The record is from RNAcentral.
GCAAACUUGGUCAUUUAGAGGAAGUAAAAGUCGUAACAAGGUUUCCGUAGGUGAACCUGCGGAAGGAUCAUUACUGAGUUUUGAAAAGAGUUGUAGCUGGUCUUUUAAUAAGAUAUGUGCACGCUCUACUCAUUCACUCUUAAAUCUCGUGUGCACCUAUGUAGAGUUUGGUGAAAUUCGGCCGAAAGGCUGAUAGGGAUCCUGCUCUAUGUUUUUAUACAAACGCUUUAGUUAUAGAAUGUUAUCUUGUGUUUGACACAUUUAAUAUAUAACUUUCAGCAACGGAUCUCUUGGCUCUCGCAUCGAUGAAGAACGCAGC